UUUCCGGUUGAUCCUGCCGGACCUGACUGCUAUCGGAUUGAUACUAAGCCAUGCGAGUCUUUGUAGUAAUACAAGGCAGACGGCUCAGUAACACGUAGUCAACCUACCCUAAGGACGAGAAUAAUCUCGGGAAACUGAGCAUAAUUCUCGAUAGAUCAUAAUGCCUGGAAUGGUUUAUGGUUAAAAUGAUUCGUCGCCAUAGGAUGGGACUGCGGCCUAUCAGCUUGUUGGUGAGGUAAUGGCCCACCAAGGCGAUUACAGGUACGGGCUCUGAGAGGAGAAGCCCGGAGAUGGGUACUGAGACACGGACCCAGGCCCUAUGGGGCGCAGCAGGCGAGAAAACUUUGCAAUGUGCGAAAGCACGACAAGGUUAAUCCGAGUGAUUUCUGCUAAAGAAAUCUUUUGUCAGUCAUAAAACCACUGACGAAUAAGGGGUGGGCAAGUUCUGGUGUCAGCCGCCGCGGUAAAACCAGCACCUCAAGUGGUCAGGAUGAUUAUUGGGCCUAAAGCAUCCGUAGCCGGCUUUGUUAGUUUUCGGUUAAAUCCAUGUGCUCAACACAUGGGCUGCCGAAAAUACUGCAUGGCUAGGGAGUGGGAGAGGUAGACGGUACUCAGUAGGAAGGGGUAAAAUCCUUUGAUCUAUUGAUGACCACCUGUGGCGAAGGCGGUCUACCAGAACACGUUCGACGGUGAGGGAUGAAAGCU
RNAcentral lists this ribosomal RNA (705 nucleotides) under uncultured archaeon. RNAcentral's name for it is "bacterial SSU rRNA". It matches the Rfam family "Archaeal small subunit ribosomal RNA", at positions 1 to 712 of the family's 1478-position model. The record is from RNAcentral.